AUGAACUGGACCCCUCUCUUCUUUGCUCUCCUCGCUCACUUGCACAGGCCCUGCAGCCUCCUGUGAGCUGACUCAGGCACCCUCGCUGUCAGUGGGCCUGGAACAGACAGCCUGCAUCACCUGUGGGGAAAACAACAUUGGAGAUAAAUAUACUUACUGGUACCAGUAGAAGUCAGAUCAGGUGCCUAUACUGGUCAUCUACAAGGAUGACAAGCGGCCUUCAGGGAUCCCUGACCGGAUCUCUGGCUCCAAUUCAGGGAACACGGCCACCCUGACCAUCAGCAGGUUCAGGCUGAGGAUGAAGCCGACUAUUACUGUCAGGUUUCAGACCGCCCUGCAGCCUCUUAUGAGCUGACUCAGGCACCCUCAGUGUCAGUGGGACAGACAACCAGCAUCACCCGUCAGGGAGACAAACUUGGAGAUAAAUAUGUUCACUGGUACCAGCAGAAGCCAGGCCAGUCCCCUGUACUGGUCAUCUACGAGGAUAGCAAGUGGCCUUCAGGGAUCCCUGAGCUCUUCUCUGGAAAUAACUCAGGCAACAUGGCCAACCUGACCAUCAGCAGAGCCCAGGCUGAGGAUGAGGCCAACUAUUUUAUUGUAGUUUAG
Molecule: non-coding RNA, 606 nt
Organism: Elephantulus edwardii (Cape elephant shrew)
Lineage: Eukaryota; Metazoa; Chordata; Mammalia; Macroscelidea; Macroscelididae
Source: the annotation of a RefSeq genome assembly